Molecule: long non-coding RNA, 2987 nt
Filed under: Homo sapiens (human)
Lineage: Eukaryota; Metazoa; Chordata; Mammalia; Primates; Hominidae
Description: long non-coding RNA NONHSAT123765.2
Source: RNAcentral
CUCGCCUCUGCUUUAUCAUCAUAGUCUUUAACACCACUGCUAUGUGAACUCCUAUGACUACAUGCUUGCUGUCUCGCACAGAAUAACCAAACAGUAGUCUCCACACUUCAGAUACCUAUGAAAAUGGAAAUUAUUUUUUGGCAAACUUUAUAGCAGCUCAGAACAUCCUGCAAAUCCAGACCAUACACAAUAAGUAUUUGAGUGACUCGAAUCCACUAAAAGUUGGGUAUAUUAGAAUCUGGGGUGUGAAUACCUAUGUGACACAAGUCAGUUUCACCUAUGACAACCGGCAAUUUAUGGAGACAAAUUUCAAGAGUGAACCUUAUAAUCAGAUACUAACUAUUCAAUUGACUGACAAGACUAUCAACCUGGAAAAGUUAACUGAGGUUACUUGGAUUGAUGGUGGUCCUGUACUUCCUACUCCAACUAAGACAAGUACCAUCCCAAUGAGUUCUCAUCCUUCUCCAUCUACUACCAAUGCCACCAGUUCUGAGACAAUCACCAGUUCUGCCAGUGCAAAUACUACCACUGGCACUACUGAUACUGUUCCUAUCACAACCACAUCUUUCCCAAGUACUACUAGUGUUACAACUAAUACUACUGUUCCUGAUACAACUUCUCCUUUCCCUACAAGUACUACUAAUGCUAGCACUAAUGCUACUGUUCCUAUCACAACCACACCUUUCCCAACAAGUACUAUUGGUGUUACAACUAAUGCUACUGUUCCCAAUACAACUGCCCCUUUCCCAACAAAUGCUAGUACUGCUAGCACUAAUGCUACUGUUCCUAUCACAACCACAUGUUUUGCAACAAGUACUAUUGGUGUUACAACUAAUGCUACUGUUCCCGAUACAACUGCCCCUUUCCCAACAAAUACUACUACUGCUAGCACUAAUGCUACUAUUCCUAUCACAACCACACCUUUUGCAACAAGUACUAUUAGUGUUACAACUAGUACUACUGUUCCUGAUACAACUGCUCCUUUCCCUACAAGUACUACUAGUGCUAGCACUAAUGCUACCCCUGUUCCUAUCACAACCACACUUUUUGCAACAAGUACUAUUGGUGUUACAACUGGUACUACUGUUCCUGAUACAACUGCUCCUUUCCCUACAAGUACUACUAGUACUAGCACUAGUGCUACUGUUCCUAUUACAACCACACCUUCCCCUACAAAUACUGCUGAUGCUAACACUAGUAAUACUGUUCCUAAUACCACUAUGCCUUCUCCUACAAGUAGUACUACUGUGAGUACUAUUGCUACCGUUCCCAUUUCAGUGACUCCUUCUCUGACAAGUACUGCUGAUGCCACCAUUAGUACUACUGUACUUAUUGCCACUACUUCUUCUCUAACAGGUACUACUGAUGUUAGCACUAGUACUACUAUUAAUAAUAUAAGUACUCCUGUUCAAACAAAUACUACUAAUGCUAGCACUAGUACUAAUGUUGCUAAUAUAACUGCUACCUCUCAUACAAGUACUGAUGAUACUGUUCCUAAUAAUACUGUUCCAGUUACAGCUAUUCCUUCUCUUGCAAAUACUGGUGUUGACACUACUAGCAACAGUUUUUCCAUUAUGACCACUUCUUUCUCUGAAAGUACUAAUGCUAUGAACACUACUGUUAUUAUGGCAACUACUUCUCCUACAAGUACUGAUGUUGCUAGCACAAAUAAUGAUGCUUCUAUGACAAAUUUUCUUUUAGCUACAAUGUCUGCUGGUAAUAUAACUAGUAAUAGUAUUUCCAUAACAACUACUUCUUUUGGUAAUAGUGUUCCUUUUGUGACUACUCCUUCUCCAAGUACUGAUGCUACUACUACAAGUAAUAAUACUAAUCCUGGCAUGACUACUUAUUACCAGACUUCUCCUACCAUUCCUACCCAUACUCUUACUUCUAUUCCUAGCUCUAUUACUUCUAUUUUGAGCAUGUUUCCAACAAGUAAUACAUUCACUACUGAUAAAAUUACUAAUUUUACUACCCCUACAAAUGCAAACACCAUUAUUUUCAACACUCUUGAUACAAAAAGUACCAUGGUAAUAGAUGCUACGGUCACUACUACCAGCACCAAAGAUAAUACCAUGAGUCCAGAUACAACAGUUACUUCCAUAGACAAAUUCACCACACACAUCACACAGUUCGCUACUCCCCAUUCUGCUACUACUACAACACUGGCCUUAAGCCACACCUCAUUAGCUCCUACAAAUCUUUCUAAUCUAGGCACCAUGGAUAUUACUGAUGCAGAUAACUCCAGCAGUGUUACAGGUAACACGACACACAUUUCUGUUUCAAAUCUCACAACAGCCUCAGUCACAAUAACAGCCACUGGUCUAGAUUCACAAACUCCCCAUAUGGUAAUAAAUUCUGUGGCUACUUAUUUACCUAUUACUGCAACUAGUGCUACCACAGAUACUACAAAUAUUACAAAAUAUGCUUUAAAUACUACCACUCCUGAUAGUACAGUACAUACCUCUGCUACUGCACCUACUUAUAUUGCAAAUGCCAUAAAUGCUACUCAAGUUCCAUGAUUACUACUCAAGGCAGGAUAGUUACCUCAGAUAACGCCUACAAACAACUAUUACAGAUAUAGAAAAUCAGUUACGAGACACUCUAUCUAUCUUAUGCUACUUAAGUUUUCACGGAUAUUAGUACUCUAGCCAUAAAAGACACAGCUACUCCAAACACUCUCGUCAUUGCAGACAUGUUUAGGAAGGUUUACAAACCUUAUAGGUUUCACCAAAGAAGCUGUGGGUACUUAUUUUGCAACCAUAGUAUGUGCUCUUAUUCUUUUAAAUUAUAGUUAUUACUCCUAUAACCUCAUCAGUUAAACUACAGAUGUUUUAUAUAUCCUAUAUAUCCUUGCUACAGAUUUCACAGGUAAUUUUGGUAUCUCAGAUAACACCACAUUAGGCUCUGUAAAUACUAUUGCCUUAGAUUUAGUUACUGAAAUAGCCCAACUUGUUUCUUGGGUCACAUGACGUACCAUAACUGAG